RNAcentral lists this ribosomal RNA (465 nucleotides) under uncultured bacterium. Its description in RNAcentral is "partial 16S ribosomal RNA". It matches the Rfam family "Bacterial small subunit ribosomal RNA", at positions 28 to 507 of the family's 1533-position model. The record is from RNAcentral.
GACGAACGCUGGCGGCGUGCUUAACACAUGCAAGUCGUACGGUAAGGCCCUUUCGGGGGUACACGAGUGGCGAACGGGUGAGUAACACGUGAGUAACCUGCCCACAACUUUGGGAUAACGCUAGGAAACUGGUGCUAAUACUGGAUAUGUGCUCCUGCUGCAUGGUGGGGGUUGGAAAGCUCCGGCGGUUGUGGAUGGACUCGCGGCCUAUCAGCUUGUUGGAGGGGUAGUGGCCUACCAAGGCGGCGACGGGUAGCCGGCCUGAGAGGGUGACCGGCCACAUUGGGACUGAGAUACGGCCCAGACUCCUACGGGAGGCAGCAGUGGGGAAUAUUGCACAAUGGGCGCAAGCCUGAUGCAGCAACGCCGCGUGCGGGAUGACGGCCUUCGGGUUGUAAACCGCGUUCAGCAGGGACGAAGCUUUUUGUGACGGUACCUGCAGAAGAAGCACCGGCUAACUACGUG